Molecule: non-coding RNA, 31 nt
Filed under: Mus musculus (house mouse)
Lineage: Eukaryota; Metazoa; Chordata; Mammalia; Rodentia; Muridae
Source: RNAcentral
UAAAACAGAGACUUUUAAAGUAUAUACGGAU